CGCCUAGUGGAUGAUGGCUUCGCUAAAAUCUGUAACAUGAUCAACGACAUCUCUGUGAAGGUUCGGGUAGAAGCUGCCUCUCUGCUGGGCUCUCUACAUCAAGUCAGUCCUCGAUUCCUGGAACAAACCCUGGAUAAAAAACUCAUGUCUAACAUGAGGAGGAAGCACAGUGCACAUGAACGUGCCAAGGAGCACUUCCAGUCUGGGGAAUGGUCGACUGGCCAGAAAUGGGCUGAUGAUGCACCCAAGGAAGAAAUAGACCUGG
This is a long non-coding RNA of Haliotis rufescens (red abalone), 265 nucleotides long. RefSeq lists it as uncharacterized. NCBI's taxonomy places the organism in Eukaryota, Metazoa, Mollusca, Gastropoda, Lepetellida, Haliotidae. The record is from RefSeq and is a predicted model, not a curated record. The transcript is spliced from 3 exons.